This 292-nucleotide ribosomal RNA is filed under the name uncultured bacterium. RNAcentral describes it as "partial 16S ribosomal RNA". It matches the Rfam family "Bacterial small subunit ribosomal RNA", at positions 775 to 1067 of the family's 1533-position model. The record is from RNAcentral.
GGAUUAGAUACCCUGGUAGUCCACGCAGUAAACGAUGAUCACUAGGCGUUGGAAUGUUUUUACGCUUCUGCGCCAAAGCGAAAGUAUUAAGUGAUCCACCUGGGAAGUACGUUCGCAAGAAUGAAACUCAAAGGAAUUGACGGGGGCCCGCACAAGCGGUGGAGCAUGUGGUUUAAUUCGAUGUACGCGAGGAACCUUACCUAGGCUUAAAUGUAUUUGGACCGGUAUGGAAACAUACUUUCUCUUCGGAGCCAUGUACAAGGUGUUGCAUGGUUGUCGUCAGCUCGUGUUG